CAUGCGGUAGCUCAGUGGUAGAGCAUAUGCGAAGUAGUGAAAUGGAAACUACGCCAAAGGCCACGGCGACUAUCCAGAGUAGCGAAAGACGUAAGACUUUGGUUCGAUUCCAGACCGCAGUC
Molecule: transfer RNA, 122 nt
Filed under: Collimonas arenae
Lineage: Bacteria; Pseudomonadati; Pseudomonadota; Betaproteobacteria; Burkholderiales; Oxalobacteraceae
Description: tRNA-OTHER
Source: RNAcentral